This 313-nucleotide ribosomal RNA is filed under the name uncultured Polaribacter sp. RNAcentral's name for it is "bacterial SSU rRNA". It matches the Rfam family "Bacterial small subunit ribosomal RNA", at positions 28 to 334 of the family's 1533-position model. Lineage: Bacteria; Pseudomonadati; Bacteroidota; Flavobacteriia; Flavobacteriales; Flavobacteriaceae. The record is from RNAcentral.
GAUGAACGCUAGCGGCAGGCUUAACACAUGCAAGUCGAGGGGUAACAGGGAAGAGCUUGCUUUUCCGCUGACGACCGGCGCACGGGUGCGUAACGCGUAUAGAACCUACCUUUUACUGAGGAAUAGCCUUUAGAAAUGAAGAUUAAUACCUCAUAGUAUUGAAACUUGGCAUCGAGAUUUAAUUAAAGAUUUAUUGGUAAAAGAUGGCUAUGCGUCCUAUUAGCUAGAUGGUAAGGUAACGGCUUACCAUGGCAACGAUAGGUAGGGGUCCUGAGAGGGAGAUCCCCCACACUGGUACUGAGACACGGACCAG